GACCUAGUGGUGGAAGGUACCACCUCCGCGAGCUUUAGUGCGGGUGGUUAAAUCAUAUGCGCGGAAGGCCCUGGUUCGAAUCCAGGCUAGGUCA
This is a non-coding RNA of Mycena latifolia, 94 nucleotides long. The record is from the annotation of a GenBank genome assembly. Lineage: Eukaryota; Fungi; Basidiomycota; Agaricomycetes; Agaricales; Mycenaceae.